CCUACGGGAGGCUGCAGUGGGGAAUAUUGCACAAUGGUGGAGACACUGAUGCAGCGACGCCGCGUGAGCGAUGAAGUAUUUCGGUAUGUAAAGCUCUAUCAUCAGGGAAGAAAAUGACGGUACCUGACUAGGAAGCCCCGGCUAACUACGUGCCAGCAGCCGCGGUAAUACGUAGGGGGCAGGCGUUAUCCGGAUUUACUGGGUGUAAACGGAGCGUAGACGGUCCUGCAAGCCAGUUGUGAAAGCCCGGGGCUCAACCCCGGGACUGCAUCUCGAACUGUGAGGCUAGAGUGUCGGAGAGGUAGGCGGAAUUCCUGGUGUAGCGGUGAAAUGCGUAGAUAUUAGGAGGAACAC
Molecule: ribosomal RNA, 354 nt
Filed under: uncultured bacterium
Lineage: Bacteria
Description: partial 16S ribosomal RNA
Rfam family: Bacterial small subunit ribosomal RNA
Source: RNAcentral